Molecule: long non-coding RNA, 288 nt
Organism: Aedes aegypti (yellow fever mosquito)
Lineage: Eukaryota; Metazoa; Arthropoda; Insecta; Diptera; Culicidae
Exons: 3
Source: RefSeq, a predicted model, not a curated record
UGGGAUUUGAAAGAUUUUGCAACCGAACAGUUAACGUUGAGUAUCGCGUGGAUAAGUAUCAAACAGAUCAAGUGACUCUCAAACGUUAUAAAAGUGUGUAUUUAUUGGAACAAAUGUGGAUUAACUGGUAAUCGAAUAUGAAGAUGGAUGGAUCAAAUGUCCGAAAAUUGGUAUCAAACGACGAAGACAAGGAACAGAUCGUAAACCCAGACAAGCCUACAGUGCCAAGCAAUUGGAAAGAUUAGAAAUGGAAUUCAAACAAGACAAAUAUUUGUCUGUUAGUAAGCG